RNAcentral lists this ribosomal RNA (415 nucleotides) under Enterobacter sp. F7(2011). Its description in RNAcentral is "bacterial SSU rRNA". It matches the Rfam family "Bacterial small subunit ribosomal RNA", at positions 972 to 1392 of the family's 1533-position model. The record is from RNAcentral. Lineage: Bacteria; Pseudomonadati; Pseudomonadota; Gammaproteobacteria; Enterobacterales; Enterobacteriaceae.
UACCUACUCUUCCAGAGAACUUUCCAGAGAUGGAUUGGUGCCUUCGGGAACUCUGAGACAGGUGCUGCAUGGCUGUCGUCAGCUCGUGUUGUGAAAUGUUGGGUUAAGUCCCGCAACGAGCGCAACCCUUAUCCUUUGUUGCCAGCGGUCCGGCCGGGAACUCAAAGGAGACUGCCAGUGAUAAACUGGAGGAAGGUGGGGAUGACGUCAAGUCAUCAUGGCCCUUACGAGUAGGGCUACACACGUGCUACAAUGGCGCAUACAAAGAGAAGCGACCUCGCGAGAGCAAGCGGACCUCAUAAAGUGCGUCGUAGUCCGGAUUGGAGUCUGCAACUCGACUCCAUGAAGUCGGAAUCGCUAGUAAUCGUAGAUCAGAAUGCUACGGUGAAUACGUUCCCGGGCCUUGUACACACCG